This 459-nucleotide ribosomal RNA is filed under the name uncultured bacterium. RNAcentral describes it as "SSU rRNA". It matches the Rfam family "Bacterial small subunit ribosomal RNA", at positions 26 to 518 of the family's 1533-position model. The record is from RNAcentral.
AGAAUCAACGCUGGCGGCGUGCCUAACACAUGCAAGUCGAACGAGAAAGGGUAGCAAUACCUGAGUAAAGUGGCGCACGGGUGAGUAACACGUGACUAACCUACCCUGGAGUGGGGGAUAACUGAGGGAAACCUUAGCUAAUACCGCAUAAUACCUACGGGUCAAAGGAGCAAUUCGCUUCAGGAGGGGGUCGCGGCCGAUUAGUUAGUUGGCGGGGUAAUGGCCCACCAAGACGAUGAUCGGUAUCCGGCCUGAGAGGGCGCACGGACACACUGGAACUGAAACACGGUCCAGACUCCUACGGGAGGCAGCAGUGGGGAAUUUUGCGCAAUGGGGGAAACCCUGACGCAGCAACGCCGCGUGGAGGAUGAAGUCCUUCGGGACGUAAACUCCUUUCGAUCGGGACGAUUAUGACGGUACCGGAAGAAGAAGCCCGGCUAACUUCGUGCCAGCAGCCGC